RNAcentral lists this long non-coding RNA (4297 nucleotides) under Olea europaea subsp. europaea. The record is from RNAcentral. Lineage: Eukaryota; Viridiplantae; Streptophyta; Magnoliopsida; Lamiales; Oleaceae.
CCUGGAAGUCGUACGGGUCAGUCGCUUUUCCUCAAAAACAAGCACAAAACAUCAAAUCAUUGGUGCAGCUAUCGACGCACAAUCAUUCCCAUCGAAUCUCGGCUUCAACUUCAACGAUCAGCCUACAAGCCUCGCAGGUUCGAUUACCCAACCACCUCGAAUUCAACUUCAACGAUCAGCCUACAAGCUUCGCAGGUUCGGUUUCCCAACCACCUCGGUUUCAACUUCAACGAUCGGCCUACAAGCCUAGCAGGUUCGGUUACCCAACACAACCUCGGUCUCUUCAUCAUUUGCUUACAGCAGCACAUCUCAAACUCCAACCAUGACAUAAAUAUUUAUACUUGGACUUGGGGAACUAUUGUUGCGUAUUGUCAUACUUAGCCAACCUACCUGGGCCAAUGGCCCACUCAGGCCGAACCACGUGGCAUUCCAGCCGAGGCGGUAUAUAUUGCCGAGGUGGGCUAUGGCCCAAGCCCUCCAAUCCGAAGCAUGCCCUUUCACCGAGGCCUGUAAUCGUAACCGAGGUCCACAUCCUGAGGCCUAUGGGCCGACGCCAUGAUGCGAAAGCUGGUUGAAGUUAACUGAAGCCCUCAAGUGGGAGUAUUGUAUGAAAUGGCUGAAGCCCCAAAGCUGAUGCAGGAGCCUCCGAACCACAUGGGAACGUCCUCCAUGGUCACUUCUCCCAAGAGAUCGUCUACACAAAGAUCUUAUUCGAAUGAUUGAUGGAACAUUUGUCAUAAGUAUAAAGGUCAAGUCUUGUCACUAGCAUGGAGGCUCUGCACAAGCAAUAAAUGCGCAGCAAGCUAGCAAGUCAAGCCCCCUGCCUAGAAUAAGAUGUUUGAAUCAAAGAGAUGAGGCCAUGCUACCUCAUCCAAGGGCUCCCAUUUACAUGUAUCACUAUAAAUACUUUCCUUGUGUAACAUCAAAGGAUUAAUGCAAGAAUCAAUACAAAGAACUACACUUUACUCAACCCUCUCUCCCAUUUACUUGCAAUACACAAAUCGAGUUUACACACAUUUACAUAUACAUUUACGAACACCGGUUGGUAAUUAUUGUACAAUCGGAUCACGAACAACCCGUCGGAUUCCGAACGUCACUGUCCCGUGUCAUUGGGCUACUCCUAUGCCCUUUGAACCGCUCGUCGUAGACCGUCCAUGUGUCUUAACUUGUUGGACAUUCGCCCACGUGUGCGCGGGUGGACCUGCAUCUGUUGGCAACACUUUUUGGGGGUCAACAUAUGUCAUUCUAUAUUAUAAUAAAUAGCGUACGAUGACUUAUUUUUUAUCAUAUUUUAUAUAAAUAUAUGUACUAAAAAUAUUUUUUCGUCAUCUCAAAGCAUAGAACAAAAUAUUUGAAGUAAAUCAUCAUUAAUGACAAAAUGUAUUAAUUAAUGAAAAGUUGAAGAUAAAAAUUUGAUGAAAAAAAUUAAGAAAAUGAUUGCUAUAACAAGAACUACAAUUAAAAUGUAGUGCAACUAAUCAAAAUUAUAGUACCAAUAUAAAUUGACAUCCCUUGAUAGAGGCAAAAAAAUAAUUAAAAAAAAAAUUGAAAAUCUAAAACACGUUUUUUUGCUCGAAUUAUAUUCGCUAUAGGCUAACAGAAAUGUAAUACAAAAGAGGCAAAUAACAGAAAUUUACGACUUCAAAACAUUAUAGUUCUUUCCAUAUAACUACAGUUAAUUACUGAUUCAAAGGUUUAAAUUUGCAUUUGGCCUAAACUUGCUUAAUUUGUUCAAUCUCCUACGAUUCUCAGUCGGGUUCCUCGUCAAUAUUUAUUGUUGUAGUUAUAUAUAUGUUAAGAACAGGAAUUGUUGGCAGCAGAAGUUGAACAUUUUGCUUAAAAUUCCUCCAUAUUCUAGAGAUACAAGCAAUGCAUAAGGAGAGUAGCGUAAUUAUGGGGUAGAUAUACCAAAAGACAUCUUGUGGAAAGAAUAGUGAGGCCAAGAAACAAACCAAUAGGGAAACUGAGUAGUUCUUGACUUGAAUGCGUAUGCAUCCUAUAUCAACUUGAGGUGCCAAUGGGAUUUCAAUGAAGAUGAAGGAGGAGAAAGAAAAAGCUAUUGAGAAGACAAAACUUGAACCACGUGAAGUUUUCAAUUAGUAUACCAAAUGGAUCCCAUUCCCAAGGCAUGGCUGUAGAUGAUUUCAGUAUGUUUACAGCUAAUGGGGUAGCGUGUCUUAGAUCAAAGUAUGACGUUAUUCUUAACUGAAAGAUUGUUGAGAGAAUUUAAGGAGAGGUAAUGAAUUGCAGAAUUCUUGGUUUUUGGUUUGAGAGAGUGAUGAAUUCCAGAAUUCUUAGGGUUUUGGUUGGAGAGGGAAAUUAAGGAGAAGUGAUGAAUUGCAGAAUUCUUAGUUUUUGGUUGGAUCGAUUGCAGAAUUCUUGGAUUUUGGUUAAAGAGAGAAAUUAAGGAGAAGUGAUGAAUUGAAUAUGAAGAUGAUACUUUCUUUGAGCAGCAUGAUGUAUCCCUAUAUAUAAGAAAAUAGAAAGUGUUAUGGAAACAUCCAUUUUUUUCCUGAAACUGUUUGCAUUUUCACACUAGUGGAUGUUUCCAUGAAAUCUCAUUAACACCUCAAGUUGAUUUGGGAUACAUACGCAUUCAAGUCAAGAAUUCCUCUUUCCCUAUUGGUUUGUUUCUUGGCCUCACUAUUCUUCUUAGUCCUGUAAGUAAAAACCGUCAAACCAGAAAAUCGAAUCGAAAUCGCAUUUUAGAAAUCGUCAGUUUGGUGCCACGUGGACUCGAUCAACAAAAUAGUUUUGACCCAAACCAAACCGGUCAAAAUGGUUUGGUUUAGGUUUGAGAAUUUUAAUUGCAGUUUAAAACUAAAUCGGACGGGGGAAAAAAUAUAUAAAAAUAAAAAAAAUGAAGAAAUGAAUUUUUUUAUUAUCCAAUAAUUCUUAUACAUAUCUAAUAAUUUCAAGACUAACAUAAUCUAUCAAAAGUCAUUUUCUUCUUCAGAAUUUAGAUGAACUCUCAGCCGACAUCCAACAUAGUCUUGAGCCACCGGCACCACACACUUCUUUUUCAGAUUUUUCACGCCUCUUCAAAGUUGAAUAGUAGUCUAUUAUACCAAAUCGGAGACAAAGAGAUCGUAAACAUUCGGUGAUAAUAUUUGUUACGAAUAAAGUUUCAGAUCAAUAAUUUUUUUGGAACAAACUAAGGUAAGAAUCUGAAAUUAAAUGCGUUUCGUAACAUCAUACAAACGUAAACUUGUAUAAUUGUUAUGUUUAGAUAUUAUAAACAAUUGCUUUAUUAUUAUGGUUGGUUAUUCUCUUUGUCUAAUCAGUAUCCAUCAUUCAGAUAUGAUGAUCACGAGAUCUUAUUGAACAUCAUUAUAUUUUUUGGCUCUUAUAUCUAAUUUAAUAGACUUGUAUUGUAACGUUAUUAUAUCGUUAUUAGCCUAAAAAAGAUGAACAAAAAUGAAAAAAAACUAUGUCUUAGCUUAUUGUAAUUUUUCUUUGAUUUAGUUGGUAUUUAAAGUUAUAGUAGACAUAUUUAGUCUCUAUUUGAGCCAUAUUUUCUAUAUCAUCAUAACGAGAAAAUUGAUCGUUGGAAAGGAGGCUGGGUCCCACACAUGAAAUAACAGGUCAACAAAGGUGGCUGGAUUUGUGGGAUAAUGGUUCAAAUUUUCAUUUUUUUGUUCCAGAAAUUUUGUUCAAACAGAGGUUUAGUUUAUUUUAGAUUUAUUACUAGUAAGAUAUAAAUAUAUAUUGAAUUCAAUGAAUUAAUGACAUAAGAGCAGACGGGAAAAAAAUAUAUGACGAAAUCGGUGGUUUAAAAUCAGACCAAGCCGUUAGGUUUAGGUUUGAGUUUUUUUCAAACCGUUUAAAAUGGUUUGGUUUAGGUUUGGAAUUUUUUCAAACCAGUGUAAAGGGUUUGGUUUGAAAAUCUGUCAAAAAUCAGUAAAAUCGGACCACUUACACUCCUAAUUCUUCUCACAAGAUAUCUUUUGGUAUACCUACUCCAUAAUUAUGUUGCUCUACUUAUGCACUGCUUAUAUCUCUAACAUGUGGAGGAGUUUUAAGCUGAGUGUUCAACUUGUGCUGCCAACUAUUCCUGUUCAUACCAUAUUUAUGACGACAACAACAACAACAACAACAACAAACAUUGAUGAUGAAGCAGACUUAGAAUUGCAGGAGAUAGAACAAAUUCAGCAAAUUUAAGCCAUAUGCAAAUUUGGAGCUUUGAAUCAGUUGGUCCUUUGCGGAUAAUUAAAUAUAGGUACUUGGAAAGAACAAUUAUGUUUUAAAGUAGUAAAUUUCUAUUAUUUGCCUCUUUUGUAUUACAUUUCUGCUGGCA